RNAcentral lists this ribosomal RNA (425 nucleotides) under uncultured Actinomycetes bacterium. RNAcentral's name for it is "bacterial SSU rRNA". It matches the Rfam family "Bacterial small subunit ribosomal RNA", at positions 233 to 671 of the family's 1533-position model. The record is from RNAcentral. Lineage: Bacteria; Bacillati; Actinomycetota; Actinomycetes.
GCGGCCUAUCAGCUUGUUGGUGAGGUAAGGCUCACCAAGGCUACGACGGGUAUCCGGCCUGAGAGGGCGACCGGACACACUGGGACUGAGACACGGCCCAGACUCCUACGGGAGGCAGCAGUGGGGAAUAUUGGGCAAUGGACGAAAGUCUGACCCAGCGACGCCGCGUGAGGGAUGAAGGCCUUCGGGUUGUAAACCUCUUUCAGUAGGGAAGAAGCGAAAGUGACGGUACCUAAAGAAGAAGCACCGGCUAACUAUGUGCCAGCAGCCGCGGUAAUACAUAGGGUGCAAGCGUUGUCCGGAAUUAUUGGGCGUAAAGAGCUCGUAGGUGGUUUGUUGCGUCGGGUGUGAAAUUCAGGGGCUCAACCCCUGACCUGCACUCGAUACGGGCAAGCUAGAGUUUGGUAGGGGAGACUGGAAUUCCU